UAAAACUUCUUUGGUCGGAUAAACUUGGUUACGUCCACGCUGCAGCUAUUAUAAAAUUAAAGGUGCUAUAAAUCAGAUUUGACAAAUCAUUUGGAAUCAAAUCAACAAAAUGCAUCGUGUCAUCAACUUUGUUUUGGUCCUCACCAUCAUUAGUCUCAUCCUCACCUCCGCUUUUGCUCCUGCCAGCGGCAGAAGCAGCAGCGGUGCCAGAGGCGGCGGCGGAAGUGGAAGCAGCGGAGGUGGUGGGAAGGGCGGACGCGCCGCUACAGGCGGCGCAUCAGGCGGCGGAAGUAACAUAGCGCGGCCGGGGCGGCCCGCAAGCAGUGGCUCAUCAUCUAUCGAUCUCGGAUUGUGGCGCUACUUGGCUUAUUACGCUUCUGCAUUAUUGAUCAUGUAUUAUUAAAGGUUUUACUUAAUUACUCGUAUUCAUUUCAUUUUAAUUACUCGUAUUCAUUACUUGAUGUCAUUACUCUUGUGCUACCUUUUAUUUCAAUAAAAGAAAUUGUAUUUUGUUACA
Salvia hispanica is the source of this 517-nucleotide long non-coding RNA. RefSeq lists it as uncharacterized. The record is from RefSeq and is a predicted model, not a curated record. NCBI's taxonomy places the organism in Eukaryota, Viridiplantae, Streptophyta, Magnoliopsida, Lamiales, Lamiaceae.